AAUGAACGCUGGCGGCAGGCUUAACACAUGCAAGUCGAGCGCAUCCUUCGGGGUGAGCGGCAGACGGGUGAGUAACGCGUGGGAAUCUACCUUUUGCUACGGAAUAGCUCCGGGAAACUGGAAUUAAUACCGUAUGUGCCCUUAGGGGGAAAGAUUUAUCGGCAAGAGAUGAGCCCGCGUUGGAUUAGCUAGUUGGUGGGGUAAAGGCCUACCAAGGCGACGAUCCAUAGCUGGUCUGAGAGGAUGAUCAGCCACAUUGGGACUGAGACACGGCCCAAACUCCUACGGGAGGCAGCAGUGGGGAAUAUUGGACAAUGGGCGCAAGCCUGAUCCAGCCAUGCCGCGUGAGUGAUGAAGGCCUUAGGGUUGUAAAGCCCUUUCACCGGAGAAGAUAAUGACGGUAUCCGGAGAAGAAGCCCCGGCUAACUUCGUG
Molecule: ribosomal RNA, 433 nt
Filed under: uncultured bacterium
Lineage: Bacteria
Description: partial 16S ribosomal RNA
Rfam family: Bacterial small subunit ribosomal RNA
Source: RNAcentral